GAAAUGCGAUAAGUAAUGUGAAUUGCAGAAUUCAGUGAAUCAUCGAAUCUUUGAACGCACAUUGCGCCCGCCAGUAUUCUGGCGGGCAUGCCUGUUCGAGCGUCUUUACAACCCUCAGGCCCCCGGGCCUGGCGUUGGGGAUCGGCGGAAGCCCCCUGCGGGCACAACGCCGUCCCCCAAAUACAGUGGCGGUCCCGCCGCAGCUUCCAUUGCGUAGUAGCUAACACCUCGCAACUGGAGAGCGGCGCGGCCACGCCGUAAAACACCCAACUUCUGAAUGUUGACCUCGAAUCGGGUAGGAAUACCCGCUGAACUUAAGC
Molecule: unclassified non-coding RNA, 320 nt
Filed under: plant metagenome
Description: partial contains 5.8S ribosomal RNA, internal transcribed spacer 2, and large subunit ribosomal RNA
Rfam family: 5.8S ribosomal RNA (bases 1-105)
Source: RNAcentral